RNAcentral lists this long non-coding RNA (274 nucleotides) under Elaeis guineensis (African oil palm). RNAcentral describes it as "long non-coding RNA (EGUI_LNC006886)". The record is from RNAcentral. Lineage: Eukaryota; Viridiplantae; Streptophyta; Magnoliopsida; Arecales; Arecaceae.
GAUGUAUACCGACCUGAAUCCUGAUACCUUUAUCCAAAAAUCUUAUGGCACCUCUAGUUCACCUCGGUCAUCUACCGUAGUGAGUUAUUAUUAUCAUAGACUCAAUCAUUCUGCAAACGCCCAUGGUGGUUUCCUCAACUAAACCACAGCUAGCCAUGAUCUCAUGUCUAGCUCAUAUGCACAGCUGUUCGUCAGCUUAUUUAUAGGUGACUUUCUAACUACCUAACAAACUUCUCUAAUGGCUUAACAAACUCUGGAACAGUCUUUUCAACCC